CGAGCGAGAAAGGGGCUUCGGCCCUGAGUAAAGCGGCGCACGGGUGAGUAACACGUGGGUAAUCUGCCCUAGAGUGGGGAAUAACACCGGGAAACCGGUGCUAAUACCGCAUACGAUCACGAUGUCUUCGGAUGUUGUGAUGAAAGGAGCAAUUCGCUCUUGGAGGAGCCCGCGGCUGAUUAGCUAGUUGGUGAGGUAAUGGCUCACCAAGGCAACGAUCAGUAGCCGGUCUGAGAGGACGGUCGGCCACACUGGAACUGAGACACGGUCCAGACUCCUACGGGAGGCAGCAGUGGGGAAUUUUUCGCAAUGGGGGCAACCCUGACGAAGCAACGCCGCGUGGAUGAUGAAGUCUCUUGGGACGUAAAAUCCUUUCGACGGGGACGAAACCGCAAGGUUGACGGUACCCGUAGAAGAAGCCCCGGCUAACUCCGUGCCAGCAGCCGCGGUAAUNACGGGGGGGGCAAGCGUUGUUCGGAAUUACUGGGCGUAAAGGGCGCGUAGGCGGUUCGCUAAGUUGAAUGUGAAAACUCUGGGCUUAACCCAGAGCCUGCAUUCAAUACUGGCGGGCUAGAGUUCUGGAGGGGAUAGCGGAAUUCCUGGUGUAGCGGUGAAAUGCGUAGAUAUCAGGAGGAACACCGGUGGCGAAGGCGGCUAUCUGGACAGAGUCUGACGCUGAGGCGCGAAAGCUAGGGGAGCAAACAGGAUUAGAUACCCUGGUAGUCCUAGCCCUAAACGAUGGAUACUUGCUGU
RNAcentral lists this ribosomal RNA (753 nucleotides) under uncultured bacterium. Its description in RNAcentral is "bacterial SSU rRNA". It matches the Rfam family "Bacterial small subunit ribosomal RNA", at positions 63 to 823 of the family's 1533-position model. The record is from RNAcentral.